This is a long non-coding RNA of Fukomys damarensis (Damara mole-rat), 259 nucleotides long. RefSeq lists it as uncharacterized. Lineage: Eukaryota; Metazoa; Chordata; Mammalia; Rodentia; Bathyergidae. The transcript is spliced from 3 exons. The record is from RefSeq and is a predicted model, not a curated record.
UUCCCACUGAGCUAUGUGAUCAGAAGGCAAGUCUACCAGCCCUGCCUCUGAUCAUGGCCCACCCUGCAUUUCCUCAAGUCCCGGCCCAGAAAGGAAGACAAGAUCAUACAGCAAGAAGCUUGGAUGCGAAUUGGAAUCAGGGGUUUGCUGAACAUCCACCUGACACUGAAGAUUCAGUUGAAUCCUGAUAGCCUUCCUCUGCUGAUGUUAAAUCCAGGAUGGAUCACUAUACAAGUCAUCUGCCAUAGAGCAUGUACUC